GACGAACGCUGGCGGCGUGCCUAAUACAUGCAAGUCGAACGCAUUUUCUUUCACCGUAGCUUGCUACACCGAAAGAAAAUGAGUGGCGAACGGGUGAGUAACACGUGGGCAACCUGCCCAUCAGCGUGGGAUAACACUUGGAAACAGGUGCUAAUACCGCAUAAUUCCAUUUACCGCAUGGUAGAGGGGUGAAAGGCGCUUUUGCGUCACUGAUGGAUGGACCCGCGGUGCAUUAGCUAGUUGGUGGGGUAACGGCCUACCAAGGCUGCGAUGCAUAGCCGACCUGAGAGGGUGAUCGGCCACACUGGGACUGAGAAACGGCCCAGAAUCCUACGGGGGGCAGCAGUAGGGGAUCUUCGGCAAUGGACGCAAGGCUGACCGAGCAACGCCGCGUGAGUGAAGAAGGUUUUCGGAUCGUAAAACUCUGUUGUUAGAGAAGAACAAGGAUGGGAGUGGAAAGUUCAUCCCUUGACGGUAUCUAACCAGAAAGCCACGGCUAACUACGUG
Molecule: ribosomal RNA, 507 nt
Filed under: uncultured bacterium
Lineage: Bacteria
Description: partial 16S ribosomal RNA
Rfam family: Bacterial small subunit ribosomal RNA
Source: RNAcentral